GGGCGCCUCCCGCCUUGGGGCUGCCGGGGGGUCUGGUGCCCGGCUCCGUGCUCGGCCUGCCGGCUGCCCUGAGGCACCGGGGUCGUCCCUGUUGGUCCUCCCGCUCGUCCCCCUGCUUCCCCUUCCAUCACCCCUCUUGGUUCCCACCUUCACAUCCCAAACUGACACAACCCGGGUCGGUUUUGCUGCUGCUUUUGCGAUUCAGGGCAGCAGCCGGAUGACUGCUGUGACCCAAAAGACUUUUUUUGUUUUUUUUUUGUUUUUUUUUGGGGGGGUGGGGUGUUUUUGUUUUGGCUGCUGCUUGACGUGACUGACAGCAGCAGCACGAGCCAUCCCUCGGCAGAUUUACUUUCCAAAAUGAAAACCUGUCUGGUUUCAAAACCUCUGACUCAUCAAGGGAACAAACAAUUCUGUCGCGCGUGAGGGCUCAGGAACGCUCAAAUGCUGCAGGACCUGGGUGAGUCUGUGGAGGGCUCGGCGGGGGACGUGACUGGGUUCUUCCAAACUGUCUCGCAGGGGAUGGCUGCCACYGUGGGGUACGUGCACCUCCAGAAGGAGCGGCUCCCUAGUGAAGGGGGCACCGCGAACUGGAAGCCCAGGAAAGAAUGUUUACUGAAGAAUAUUCCAAAUGUUGCUGAUAGUGAGGCUCAAGAAGGUGAAUUCCCUGAUAUCUCUCACUAUGAAAAAGAUGUUAGUGGAUCUCCAGUUGAAUCUGUUUACUUCUGCUCGGAUCUGGAAGACUCGGAUGGUGAAGCAUCCAGUAUUCCUGAGGUUGCAACUUUUCCUGAGCUUCAAACUGCUGCUGAGUAUGAGGUGGAGGACUGGGAUAAGGAAUUGGAGGAUUCUGAAUUUAAUCCUUAUGGAUCUCAUUCUUCCAUUUCCAUCUGGUUGACUGAGUCCUGGAAGGGUUUGGGGACUCCUAAUUGGGGAUGUGGUUACGGAGACAGCAGGAAGCGGACAAUAAGUGUUGUGGCUUUGUGA
This 981-nucleotide long non-coding RNA is filed under the name Apteryx rowi (Okarito brown kiwi). RNAcentral describes it as "lncRNA (ENSARWG00000007764.1)". The record is from RNAcentral. Lineage: Eukaryota; Metazoa; Chordata; Aves; Apterygiformes; Apterygidae.